AAAAGUUUUAUUUUAGCUAAAAAAUUUAGUUUUUGGUGAGCUCACAUACGUGUUUUAAUCUAAAGGUUCCCCUUGUAGUGAUUAAAUUUAAUGAUUAAAGGAAUUUAGAAUUAGAUAUAUAAAAGUGUACAGACUAAUCUUGUGCCAGCAGUUGCGGUUAUACAUGAUGUACUUCUAAAUUUAGUUCGGGUGAUAGUUGCCUUUAUAAUAGAGGAGAGGGUUGGUUGUAUAAGGUGAAAUUUUGCGAUCAAUUUAAUUUAAUUUUAGGAGGAAUGCUGUUAGAUUUGUAAAUAGACUAGGAUUAGAUACCCUAUUAUUAAUAACUUAAAUUAGUUCCUCCUGAUAAGUAUUAGUAUAUUCUUGAAAUUUAAAAAAUUUGGCGGUGUUUUAGUCUAUUCAGAGGAACCUGUCCUGUAAUCGAUAAUCCACGAUUUAUAGAACUUUUUUUUUGAGUUUGUAUAUCGUCGUUAUUUGAAUAUCUUUAAAGGGUUUAAUGUUCAGGAUUUUAAAUUUGAACUUAGAUCAGAUCAAGAUGCAGUUUAUGGAAAAGGAGAGAUGGGUUACAAUGGAGAUAUUUAUAUGGUUUAAAGAAUGAAUUUUUUUUAAUAAAUAGGAUUUGAUAGUAAAGUGGAUAAAUUAAUCUAUUUGAUUUUAGCUCUAGAAUAUGCACAUAUCGCCCGUCGCUCCCACCACAAGGUGGGAUAAGUCGUAACAAAGUAGGUGUACCGGAAGGUGUACCUAGAAAGA
Molecule: non-coding RNA, 747 nt
Filed under: Prosopocoilus astacoides blanchardi
Lineage: Eukaryota; Metazoa; Arthropoda; Insecta; Coleoptera; Lucanidae
Source: RNAcentral